UAGGGAAUCUUCCGCAAUGGGCGAAAGCCUGACGGAGCAACGCCGCGUGAGUGAUGAAGGUCUUCGGAUCGUAAAACCCUGUUAUUAGGGAAGAACAUAUGUGUAAGUAACUGUGCACAUCUUGACGGUACCUUAUCAGAAAGCCACGGCUAACUACGUGCCAGCAGCCGCGGUAAUACGUAGGUGGCAAGCGUUAUCCGGAAUUAUUGGGCGUAAAGCGCGCGUAGGCGGUUUUUUAAGUCUGAUGUGAAAGCCCACGGCUCAACCGUGGAGGGUCAUUGGAAACUGGAAAACUUGAGUGCAGAAGAGGAAAGUGGAAUUCCAUGUGUAGCGGUGAAAUGCGCAGAGAUAUGGAGGAACACCAGUGGCGAAGGCGACUUUCUGGUCUGUAACUGACGCUGAUGUGCGAAAGCGUGGGGAUCAAACAGGAUUAGAUACCCUGGUAGUCCACGCCGUAAGCGGUGAGUGCUAAGUGUUAGGGGGUUUCCGCCCCUUAGUGCUGCAGCUAACGCAUUAAGCACUCCGCCUGGGGAGUACGACCGCAAGGUUG
This 550-nucleotide ribosomal RNA is filed under the name uncultured bacterium. RNAcentral's name for it is "bacterial SSU rRNA". It matches the Rfam family "Bacterial small subunit ribosomal RNA", at positions 355 to 896 of the family's 1533-position model. The record is from RNAcentral.